UUGACCUCGAAUCAGGUAGGGAUACCCGCUGAACUUAAGCAUA
RNAcentral lists this ribosomal RNA (43 nucleotides) under Westerdykella multispora. Its description in RNAcentral is "partial 28S ribosomal RNA". Lineage: Eukaryota; Fungi; Ascomycota; Dothideomycetes; Pleosporales; Sporormiaceae. The record is from RNAcentral.